RNAcentral lists this ribosomal RNA (450 nucleotides) under uncultured Glomeromycotina. Its description in RNAcentral is "SSU rRNA". It matches the Rfam family "Eukaryotic small subunit ribosomal RNA", at positions 569 to 1023 of the family's 1831-position model. The record is from RNAcentral. Lineage: Eukaryota; Fungi; Glomeromycota.
AGCAGCCGCGGUAAUUCCAGCUCCAAUAGCGUAUAUUAAAGUUGUUGCAGUUAAAAAGCUCGUAGUUGAAUUUCGGGAUCAAUGGGUCGGUCGUGCCAAUGGUAUGUACUGGCCUCAUUGGUUCUCACCUUCUAAGGAACCAUGAUGUCAUUUAUUUGAUGUUGUGGGAAAUUAGGACUGUUACCUUGAAAAAAUUAGAGUGUUUAAAGCAGGCUAACGCUUGAAUACAUUAGCAUGGAAUAAUGAAAUAGGACAUCCGAUUCUAUUUUGUUGGUUUCUAGGAUCGAUGUAAUGAUUAAUAGGGAUAGUUGGGGGCAUUAGUAUUCAAUUGUCAGAGGUGAAAUUCUUGGAUUUAUUGAAGACUAACUACUGCGAAAGCAUUUGCCAAGGAUGUUUUCAUUAAUCAAGAACGAAAGUUAGGGGAUCGAAGACGAUCAGAUACCGUCGUAG